Molecule: ribosomal RNA, 285 nt
Filed under: Triticum aestivum (bread wheat)
Lineage: Eukaryota; Viridiplantae; Streptophyta; Magnoliopsida; Poales; Poaceae
Description: partial small subunit ribosomal RNA
Source: RNAcentral
AUGUCUACCAUUAAUCGUCCCUCGUCAGUCCGUGCCAAGAUUGGCUGCAGGCUUGUGGAUAAACUUCCCAGCUCUGCUGAGGGGCUGUUGGGGGGCCGUUUUUACAGAUUUACCUAUGAGGUUGAGGAGAUUUUGGUCAAGAACCCCGUGGUGGAGGAUGUUAAUGCUCACAUCCCCAACAAUGAACCUGCUAAGCAUGACCAAACCCCAAAGAGGAAACGAGAUGAUCCUAAAGAUGAUGAUAGUCGCUCUGAAUCCCCUGAUCGUGACAGAAGUGGCACUUCA